RNAcentral lists this long non-coding RNA (307 nucleotides) under Amborella trichopoda. Its description in RNAcentral is "long non-coding RNA (ATRI_LNC004946)". Lineage: Eukaryota; Viridiplantae; Streptophyta; Magnoliopsida; Amborellales; Amborellaceae. The record is from RNAcentral.
UUGAAACUUCGGAGUUAGAGACAGAGAAACAAAGAGAUGCGAUGGAAGAAACUUCAGACUUAGAGAGAGAGACACAAUGGUUCAAAAUUCGAACCUAAAAACCUACUGACCAAAAUCCAUCACAGAGAAGAAAACCUAUUUUUGAAGUUCAAAACCUUGGAGAGUGAUGAAUACAACACAGGGAGUUCUCUCUCUACUGAAACAAUCAGUUUCUCUCUCUAAGAACAUGAGAUAAAAAAGGAGCAAAUAUUCAGAAAGAGUCCCUCGAGACCUACGAAUUGUAGCAGCAGAGCAAUCUCUCAUUGGC